UACGUAGGGGGCAAGCGUUAUCCGGAAUUAUUGGGCGUAAAGGGUACGUAGGUGGUUACCUAAGCACAGGGUAUAAGGCAAUAGCUUAACUAUUGUUCGCCUUGUGAACUGGGCUACUUGAGUGCAGGAGAGGAAAGCGGAAUUCCUAGUGUAGCGGUGAAAUGCGUAGAUAUUAGGAGGAACACCAGUGGCGAAGGCGGCUUUCUGGACUGUAACUGACACUGAGGUACGAAAGCGUGGGGAGCAAACAGG
RNAcentral lists this ribosomal RNA (252 nucleotides) under Ihubacter massiliensis. RNAcentral's name for it is "partial 16S ribosomal RNA". It matches the Rfam family "Bacterial small subunit ribosomal RNA", at positions 524 to 776 of the family's 1533-position model. Lineage: Bacteria; Bacillati; Bacillota; Clostridia; Peptostreptococcales; Anaerovoracaceae. The record is from RNAcentral.